RNAcentral lists this long non-coding RNA (1001 nucleotides) under Mytilus galloprovincialis (Mediterranean mussel). The record is from RNAcentral. Lineage: Eukaryota; Metazoa; Mollusca; Bivalvia; Mytilida; Mytilidae.
UUCUUUACAACCAAUAGGAUUUUUUAUAUAUAUUUUACAUGGUUACUGAUCAAUCUUAUUGAUUGAAUUUUUGUUUUAUAAAUUAUUUAUAUCUGUUCUACAUUUCUAUAUGUGCUUAUUUGGUAAGUCUUGACAUAUUGUCUUUCAGGGGUUUUACAUUCCAUAAAUAUAUAUACACUUUGUAUUGUUGACAUAAAAAAAUGUUGCCUUGAUUAUAUUUAAAUUUAAAGUAAUAACAAUCUUUCUUUAAUUGUCCCUUCAUGAAUCAAGAAAUUAUAAAAAUUUAAGGUUUCAACUCCUUCAGGCAAGGUUGACUAAAGAUUUGGCUGUUUUCCUAGUCAUGGUUUGGUCCUAGAAUGUAUAAGAAACGAAACAGUUGAAGAACUAUAUGACCAAAAAGGACUUUAAGGAUGUACUUAGGUGAGGUUUUGGAAUUUGUGUCAAAUGUUCGGACUCCUUGGUGUUUUUCCAUAUAAUACAAUGUAAAUUAUUUUGCCCCAGAACACCCAUUUAUUUUUUCAUUUAAGACUAAAUAGCUCAUGAAAGGUCAUUUACCAAAAUUUUAUAAUAUUCUUGAUUUUCUUUCUUUUGUUUUGAGACCCAAAUUAUACCAAUGCAAAUAUAAGGUAAAAAUCCGAGUCAGCCUUUUCCCGCCAUAUUUUAAAUCUCAAAUAUCUCAAAAAGGAGGUCCAUGACCUAUCAAUAUUUUUAGCUUAUCUUUAUCCUUAAUUGAUGCUCUACCAGCUUAAAGUAUCAAUUUUAAUUCUUAAUUUCUUAAUUUUUACCUAACCUCACCUAAGCACAUCCUUAGAAUAAAAAUAAAAAAACAAUCUAAGGUCAACUGUCUGUUGGAUUUGGCUUUUUACAUGAUAUAAAGGGAAAAUCAAUGCUUGAUUUUUGAGUAGUAGCCUAAUUGAAUUCCACUUUUUUCUAUUUAUUAUAUACAACUGUUAUUUGAUUGUACCAUCAGGGAUUUUAUUUUCUGAUUCGUUAUGUGUUUG